Molecule: non-coding RNA, 125 nt
Organism: Hordeum vulgare subsp. vulgare (domesticated barley)
Lineage: Eukaryota; Viridiplantae; Streptophyta; Magnoliopsida; Poales; Poaceae
Source: Rfam
AAAUUACUCCCUUCGUUCGAAAUUACUUGUCAAACAAAUGAUUAAAAAUGGAUGUAUCAAAAAUUAAAAUACAUCUAAACAGAGACAUGCCUAUGAGAAGUAUUUUCGGACGGAGGGAGUAUAUC